This 265-nucleotide ribosomal RNA is filed under the name Babesia odocoilei. RNAcentral describes it as "partial small subunit ribosomal RNA". It matches the Rfam family "Eukaryotic small subunit ribosomal RNA", at positions 558 to 874 of the family's 1831-position model. The record is from RNAcentral. Lineage: Eukaryota; Apicomplexa; Aconoidasida; Piroplasmida; Babesiidae.
AGUCUGGUGCCAGCAGCCGCGGUAAUUCCAGCUCCAAUAGCGUAUAUUAAACUUGUUGCAGUUAAAAAGCUCGUAGUUGAAUUUCUGCGUCACCGUAUUUUGACUUUUGUCGACUGUCGGUUUCGCUUUUGGGAUUUAUCCCUUUUUACUUUGAGAAAAUUAGAGUGUUUCAAGCAGACUUUUGUCUUGAAUACUUCAGCAUGGAAUAAUAGAGUAGGACUUUGGUUCUAUUUUGUUGGUUUGUGAACCUUAGUAAUGGUUAAUA